GACGAACGCUGGCGGCGUGCCUAAUACAUGCAAGUAGAACGCUGAAGGAGGAGCUUGCUUCUCUGGAUGAGUUGCGAACGGGUGAGUAACGCGUAGGUAACCUGCCUGGUAGCGGGGGAUAACUAUUGGAAACGAUAGCUAAUACCGCAUAAGAGUAGAUGUUGCAUGACAUUUGCUUAAAAGGUGCAAUUGCAUCACUACCAGAUGGACCUGCGUUGUAUUAGCUAGUUGGUGGGGUAACGGCUCACCAAGGCGACGAUACAUAGCCGACCUGAGAGGGUGAUCGGCCACACUGUGACUGAGACACGGCCCAGACUCCUACGGGAGGCAGCAGUAGGGAAUCUUCGGCAAUGGACGGAAGUCUGACCGAGCAACGCCGCGUGAGUGAAGAAGGUUUUCGGAUCGUAAAGCUCUGUUGUAAGAGAAGAACGAGUGUGAGAGUGGAAAGUUCACACUGUGACGGUAUCUUACCAGAAAGGGACGGCUAACUACGUG
This 495-nucleotide ribosomal RNA is filed under the name uncultured bacterium. Its description in RNAcentral is "partial 16S ribosomal RNA". It matches the Rfam family "Bacterial small subunit ribosomal RNA", at positions 28 to 507 of the family's 1533-position model. The record is from RNAcentral.